AACGAACGCUGGCGGCAUGCCUAACACAUGCAAGUCGAACGAGACCUUCGGGUCUAGUGGCGCACGGGUGCGUAACGCGUGGGAAUCUGCCCUUGGGUUCGGAAUAACAGCGAGAAAUUGCUGCUAAUACCGGAUGAUGACGUAAGUCCAAAGAUUUAUCGCCCAAGGAUGAGCCCGCGUAGGAUUAGCUAGUUGGUGAGGUAAAGGCUCACCAAGGCGACGAUCCUUAGCUGGUCUGAGAGGAUGAUCAGCCACACUGGGACUGAGACACGGCCCAGACUCCUACGGGAGGCAGCAGUGGGGAAUAUUGGACAAUGGGCGAAAGCCUGAUCCAGCAAUGCCGCGUGAGUGAUGAAGGCCUUAGGGUUGUAAAGGCUCUUUUUACCCGGGAUGAUAAUGACAGUACCGGGAGAAUAAGCUCCGGCUAACUCCGUGCCAGCAGCCGCGGUAAU
RNAcentral lists this ribosomal RNA (452 nucleotides) under uncultured bacterium. RNAcentral describes it as "bacterial SSU rRNA". It matches the Rfam family "Bacterial small subunit ribosomal RNA", at positions 29 to 524 of the family's 1533-position model. The record is from RNAcentral.